Molecule: ribosomal RNA, 253 nt
Filed under: uncultured bacterium
Lineage: Bacteria
Description: partial 16S ribosomal RNA
Rfam family: Bacterial small subunit ribosomal RNA
Source: RNAcentral
UACGUAGGGUGCGAGCGUUAAUCGGAAUUACUGGGCGUAAGGAGUGCGCAGGCGGCCGAGCAAGUCGAGUGUGAAAGCCCCGAGCUUAACUUGGGAACUGCGCUCGAAACUACUUGGCUAGAGUGUGGCAGAGGGAGGUGGAAUUCCACGUGUAGCGGUGAAAUGCGUAGAGAUGUGGAGGAACACCGAUGGCGAAGGCAGCCUCCUGGGCCAACACUGACGCUCAUGCACGAAAGCGUGGGGAGCAAACAGG